This 253-nucleotide ribosomal RNA is filed under the name uncultured bacterium. RNAcentral's name for it is "partial 16S ribosomal RNA". It matches the Rfam family "Bacterial small subunit ribosomal RNA", at positions 524 to 776 of the family's 1533-position model. The record is from RNAcentral.
UACGAAGGGUGCGAGCGUUGUUCGGAAUUACUGGGCGUAAAGGGUUCGUAGGCGGAAUAAUAAGUCAAGUGUGAAAUCCCCGAGCUUAACUUGGGACGUGCAUUUGAAAUUAUAAUUCUUGAGUGAUGGAGAGGGUGGUGGAAUUGUUGGUGUAGGAGUGACAUCCGUAGAGAUCAGCAGGAACAUCAGAGGCGAAAGCGACCACCUGGCCGUAGACUGACGCUGAGGAACGAAAGCGUGGGUAGCAAACAGG